This 408-nucleotide ribosomal RNA is filed under the name uncultured bacterium. RNAcentral's name for it is "partial 16S ribosomal RNA". It matches the Rfam family "Bacterial small subunit ribosomal RNA", at positions 28 to 526 of the family's 1533-position model. The record is from RNAcentral.
GACGAACGCUGGCGGCGUGCUUAACACAUGCAAGUCGAACGAAGUGGCGAACGGGUGAGUAACGCGUAAUCAACCUGCCCUUCAGAGGGGGACAACAGUUGAAAACGACUGCUAAUACCGCAUACUGAAGGAGGGGAUUGCGUCUGAUUGGCUCGUUGGGGGGGUAACGGCCCACCAGGGCGAUGAUCAGUAGGCGGUCCGGGGGGAUGAACGGCCCAAUUGGGACGGAGAAACGGCCCAGAACCCUACGGGAGGCAGCAGGGGGGAAGCUUCCGAAAUGGACGAAAGUCUGACGGAGCAACGCCGCGGGAGGGAUGACGGCCUUCGGGUUGUAAAGCUAUGUUAAUCGGGACGCGGUACCGGAAUAGAAAGCCACGGCUAACUACGUGCCAGCAGCCGCGGUAAUUC